RNAcentral lists this ribosomal RNA (999 nucleotides) under Triticum aestivum (bread wheat). RNAcentral's name for it is "partial small subunit ribosomal RNA". The record is from RNAcentral. Lineage: Eukaryota; Viridiplantae; Streptophyta; Magnoliopsida; Poales; Poaceae.
AUGGGGCAGUACCCUUCGGGAGCAUUUGGAGCAGGCUCAAGUAGCAGUCCAGCUUCUCCUGCUGGAUGCAUACCUUUUCUUGGAUCUGCUAGAGGCACUAGUUCAAGAGGAGAUGAGAACAGUCCAGUUGGAUUUAGUUCUCCCAUGUCACCUGCAUAUCAUGUGGAUGAAGAUCCGGCUGUCAGUAAUCAAGAUGGCAGUGAUAGUAGUCCUGAUGAGAUUCAGAAAAAAAGGAAAACAGCUUGGGUGCACAAUUCAUGUGAUCCGAUUGAUGGAAACUCCAAAAGGGCAGAGACCUAUUGGAAGGAAGUCGCAGCAGAGUACAACAAAUAUGCAACAAAAGAGCAGAAGAAAACAGUUGGGCAAUGCAAGAACCACUGGACCAAGACCACAAAGAAGGUUACAAAGUUCAAUGGUAUCUACAAUGUUGAAAAAAGUACAUGGCCUAGUGGGAGUGAUGACAAGCAACUUAUGGAGAGGGUACGUGCCAAAUACAUGAGUGUUGCCAAGACAAAAAGACCCUUUCCAUAUGAGCACUGGUGGGAGUACGUGAGGAAAGAGGCUAAAUGGAGAAGGUCUUAUUCAGUUGAAGAGAUGAACAAAAGAAACAAGUUGAAUGCAUUAGGAGCUUAUAGUUCUCCAACCCAGGCAAUAGAUGAGGAAGGUGAACUUCAACGACCCCCGGGACGCAACACUUCAAAAGACGCAAAAGAUAAACAUAAGUCAUCAAGCAAGUCUAAAUGCUCUGGAAGCUUGACAAGUGAGAGUGUGGACAAAUUUAAGAAAAUGGCCGACGCCACCCUUAUUCAAGCAGAAGCCACAAAAGUUCAAGCAGAAGCUGAGAAUGAAAGAGUUGAAACUGAGAAGGAGAAGAUAAAGGUGGACAAACUGAGCAAAUACCUUGAUCUUCUUCACAAAAAUACUUCAGCUUAUGAUGAUGCCCAAAAGAAAAGACAUGAACAAGUUCUAAAUUUCUUAGCUAAUGAUCUGUUCGGUUAA